ACUCGGGGACGACCCUGAGCUGCAUUUUUUAUUCGGGACGACCCG
Molecule: non-coding RNA, 45 nt
Filed under: Methylovorus glucosotrophus
Lineage: Bacteria; Pseudomonadati; Pseudomonadota; Betaproteobacteria; Nitrosomonadales; Methylophilaceae
Also listed under: 1 other name
Description: Methylovorus glucosetrophus Guanidine-II sequence
Rfam family: Guanidine-II riboswitch aptamer (mini-ykkC)
About the family: Simpler in structure and has fewer highly conserved nucleotide positions than the ykkC-yxkD leader. Despite this each of its two stem-loop structures directly bind free guanidine.
Source: RNAcentral